This 40674-nucleotide long non-coding RNA is filed under the name Durio zibethinus. RNAcentral describes it as "long non-coding RNA (DZIB_LNC001281)". Lineage: Eukaryota; Viridiplantae; Streptophyta; Magnoliopsida; Malvales; Malvaceae. The record is from RNAcentral.
UUCACACUCCAUGUUCUGAGAAAGAUUUACCAUCCGAAAAGCGAAAAAAGCAAAAAAAACCGAGUCUUUGUCUAAAGAAAAAAGGGUGGAUGUAUAGAAGAGACAGUGCUUUUUCAAUUCUCUCAAAAUGGAAGCUAUUACAAACAUAUUUGCCAUGGUUCUUUACUUUGACAGGGUACAAAUAUCUAACUUUUCUAUUUUUAGAUACUUUUGAAGACGUAUUGUCGAUACUAAGUAGCAGUAAAUUUGUAUCCCGUUUUCAUGAUAUUAUGGAUGAAUUAUAUAUAUCAUGGCGAAUUCUUCAGAAAAAAUUAUCUUCCACAAUGGAAUUUGAUAAGUGAGAUUUGAGCAAGUGUUUACAUAAUUUUCUUCUGAAAUAAAAACUACAAAAAUAAUUUUAUUUUUCUUAAAAUAAAAUGGUUUUAGAGAAAUAGCGGUAAAAAAUUGUCAUUAAUAUAAAAUAAAAAUUUGCAAAAAAAAAAUUAUUAUACUUAGUACAAAAAGUGGUUUAAGGGUAUUAGUGAGGGAAUUUUCACUGCUAAUUCUUAGCUUAUUUUAGUUCAUUCUAGAAUUUUGGCAUGCUCUAAUUACUGAAAUGGAAUGUAAUUUCCAUCAGUAAUUUGAUUUUUUUAGAGGCAAAAUUCCAUCACUAAAAGUAAAAGACUAUUCCACUUAAAUUCAUUGAUGUUUUAUCCAAACUUUUUCUCUCGAUGGUCAUUAUUGGCAUGCUUUCUUGUAGUGAAUCACCCUCUAUAACUUCCAAUAUCUAAAUCUAAACUUUUUUGAAAUUUAAAUUGAUUAAAUGCAACCUUACAAUAACAAAGAAAAUCAUUAAAAAAAAAUAAAAUUCAACUCAAAAUAAUAAGUAAAAAUGGUAAUGGUAUAAAGUGAAAAUGGGUUGGGUAAAUGGGGAGUUUGGUGAUAGGGAGUAUUUUUGGGAAAUUUGGGUUUGACAAAAGGAAGGAAAAGUUAGAGUGGAAGCUAAUUGUUAACGGAAACGUUACUAUAAAUGAUAACUUAUAAUUUUGACACGGAUUUGGAGGAGGCAAGAGAGAGACGUGUGAUUUGAAAAUAGGAAAAAGCGUUGAGCGUGAGAGAAAAUAAAAAAAAAAGAAAGAGAAAAAGAAUAGAAAAAAAAGAGAAAAAGAGAUUAAGUAAAAAAAGAUAGUGUCAGUUAAGUAUAGUAGAAAAUAAAGAAAAAAAAAAGCUAAAGUUUAUGUCUGUUUUCCUAUUAAAGAUAAGAAAUAAUGGUGUGAAGGGAGGAGAGUUGGAUUUGAAGAAGUUUCAAGGGCAAAAGAAAAAAAAAAUUAAAGACCUUUUUAAUUUUAUUUGAGCAGAGUUGGCUACGAAAAAGGAAGGGAGGAAUAUGCUUGACUUUUUUUUCUCUAUCUAUUAUGGUCUGGUUAAAACUUCGUAGAAAAAUUUUAACUUCUUCUUCUUUGACCAUCAUAAGAGAAAGAGAAGAAAGGGAUCCUCAGUUUUACUUAUUUAUCAUUAGAUGUGUAAAUAAGAUAUACAUACUUAUAAGUUAAUAGAAUUCAACUUAAAAAAAUUAAAUUUAUUUUAAUUAUUUUUGACUCGAUCUUAAAUUUGAGUAAUUCAAAUAAUUAAACAAAUCGAAUUCGAAUAUUUUAAUAUAUAAUGAGUAACUCACGAUCUUAAUAAAGUUUUUUUAUUUUAAUAGAUAUUUUAAAUAUUAAAUUAUUGUUUACAAUUUUACCCUUUUAUAUAUAAAACUGUUAAACGGUAAACAACUAACCUUCAAAAUUUUUUCUUUCCUCCACACUCCCAGCGGCGCACCCGAGAACUCUAACCCCCCCCCCCCCCCCACCAACCCAAAUCACAAUCCCAGACUUUGCCACCCUUUGCUUUUUCCUUUCUGCCAUAUUUGUUUGUAAUCCAAAGAUUUUGCUUAAAAUCAGGCCGUCAUCAGUUCAUUCAAACUCUUUAUUUUUUGCUUUUAUUGCUUUGCGCUUUAAAAUUAUCUUACUCCAUCGAUUGUUGCUUCAUACUCGUUUCUACGUUCAUCAGUUCCUUAAAGAGUCAUUGCCUUUGAAGACAAAUCCAUACCUUAACAACCAUUUUUUUUGUUUGAUGUUAGUUUCAAAGCAUAUCAGUAAAAAUCACAACUUUGUUCUUCAUUCUGUGUUCUGAGUUUGAUUUUAAUUUCAGGCUAAGUUUGAUUUAUAGAUUUUUUUUUUUGUUUUUGUAUUUUUUAAUUAUAUAAAUAGGGUUCUUGAUUCAAUUUAAAUACAUGAUUUACCUUAAUUUUAAGUUUAAAUACUCUGUUUUGGCUUUUUUUCUUCUUUUUGAAUAUUUUAGAUUUUUAAUGCAUCAAUUCUUUCAUAGAUUUUCUGGGUGUGUGUCAAUCUUGUUAUACAAGGUUGGAAUGUGCUCUUUUAUUAACGAAUAUCAUCCGGGAUUUGCUUUCUGUAAAAUUUUUUUUUUUUUUUAAGAUUUAGACAUUUGGUUUUAUAUAGAAUUUGAAUUUUGAAUUGAUGUAAAAUAUUUAUAAAAAAUUUCAAAUCGAGUUAAAUUUUAAAUUUGAUCUCAAUGUUAUUUUUUAUUUGAUAAUAAAUUUAAUAGAAUAAAAUUAAAAAAUUUAAUUUUUAUUUUAAACAAUUAAAAAAAAAUCGAUUUCUAGCUUCACACUCUACUCAUUGGGUAUUUGAUGACACAUAACUAACAUUCAAAGAUAAAAUGAAAAUGAAAAUGGAUAUCAAAUUUGUAAUGAAAUGCAAAUGCAAAUGAAACAUUCAUAAGUUUUUUAACUCCAAACUAGGUGGCCAUUACGUGUGCUUCUGAGGCUGGCUUUUAGUUUACGCGCUUUAUAUUAUCUCAAUCUUUUUUCAGUCCUAUCAUAGGAACCAAUUGAAACCGCUAAAAUCAUCAUUAAAUUAAAUAGAAGCUGAAACAAAAAAACCCAAGUAGGUUUUUUAUCAAAGCCCAAUAAAUAUUAAAUCAAUUUUUAUGAAAAAGUGAAAGAUAAUUUCUGUAAUUUUUUUGCUUUCAAUUUUUUAAUAUUUAAUAAAUUUAAGUUCAAUAUAUAUUAAAUUUGUUUUAAUAUAAAUAUAACUUAAAAAAUAGAAAAUAAAAGAACAAAUAAAUAUUUUUAAAAUUUUUCUAAAUUCAUUUUACUAAAACUAUUAAGUUUUUUUCUUUAAUACUCUCUAUGAGUAAAUUUACUCAACACAUCCCAUACUUAUAAUAUCCUAUUUUUACUUACGUUAUCUCACAUCCAAAAUAUAAAUUUACUUAAAUUUCAAACAUUUCAUCUCUUUUCCCUCACACCCCAAAUUUAUAGAAUAAACUCUAGAAUUUAAAGCUCCAAAUCAAGUUAUUUGAAGUUAAAAAACAUAAAAUUAAAGAUAAAUUAUUUAUUUUUUUGUUACUUUUUUAUUUAAUUUUAUGUUUAUUUUCAUAAAAUUUUAUAUUAAAAUAUUAAAGGUGCAAUUCAAAACUUCCAAAAAUAAAAUUUUGGAAGUUUCGAAUCUCACCUUUAACAUUUCAACAAAACGAAAUCAAACGAACUAGCUUUUUCUUAGUACCAACAAAAGUUGCCUAUAAUGAAUAUUCUUGGACCAACAAAAGUCACUUACAAUGAACAGUAUUUGUUGGCCCUAAGAACUAUUUAUUAUAAAAGACUCAUUAGUAGUCCAGCCUGUAGCAGUUGAAAAACCCCAACUAGAUGUCGACUGCGCUAACUUUUCCUAAGUAGCUUUUUUAUCCCAACCCUAAACAAAGUAGAAAAGCCAAGUGUAGUCGACAUCUAGUUGGAAUAAUGAAAGCUAGUGCAAGUGUUGGAAGUGGUGCAGAACUAAUAAUGGGAGCUGUGGCAGAGCAAUGAACUAAGACACUAAAGAGGCAGCAAAUAGAAUUAAAAGUUGAGCCCGAGCUGGGAAAAGAAGCUAAUAAAUUUGAAGCUAGAACUAAUCAUGAGAAAGUAGACAAGGAGCUAAAUUUGAAGCUACAGUAGAGUUAGUAGCUAAUAAGGAAACUGGCUAUGAAGAUGCAAAUGAGAAUGGGGUGCAACGAUUCAAGUUGGUUUGGAAGCUAAUUAUUAAGCCAUUUGUGUCUAUGCUGUGUUGUUAUAACAACUGUUAAUAUAUUUUGUCCGUAUUUUACAAUUUUGUUUUUACUCAAUUAAAGUAAGUGAUGCGAUAUAUAUAGAAAAUGCUAUGUAUGAGUCAUCAUUAUGAAUGAAAUACAUACUGUUUCUCUUUUCUACCACUCUCUUUUCCUUCUCUUAAUUCUAUUUCCUCUCUUUGUCUUCCUUCAUUCUUUUUAAACCAUAGCCAAUCUAUGAUAGAAAAUCACUAUCAGUAAAGGUAAAGUGCUAUAUAUAAAAGACAUACUUAAGUGCUAUCUAACCAUUUCAUUCUACACAAACGAAAAGACGUGCUUAAGCGCUACCUAACCAUUUCUUUCUACACAAACCCAAAUGGGCUAAUAGAGAGUACCUUCAUAAGAUUUCAAGAAAAAUUGCUACUAGGUGUUGAAUCGAGAAUUGCUUUACUUCUGGAAAUCAAAUAAAACCAGAAUUCUGGAAAAAAAUUUGCUUCUGGAAAUGCAUUUUAAGAUCAUUGCAUUAUUUUUCAAAAAUUCAUUUUCAUUACAUUGAAGAAGUCGUUCGAAAUGAAUUUUUAAUAACUUUUGUUCACUUCAGGGAAUUAAUUUUUGAUAAAGAACAUGCUUUUCUGGAGAUUAAUUUCUAAAACUUAUUGAGCUAUUUCAUAUAUAUAUGUCUACUUACAUUCACAUUCUAUUGAAAAUUCAUUUCUGGUAAAGCCUAUCCAAAAAAGAAAGUUGGGGUGUAAAAGACAAAAAGGUGAGUAUUUAAGUAAUUUUAUUAAAAGUUAAAUUUAUAAUUAAAUUUUUAGGUGUAUUUAAUAGUUUUUGGCGUAUAAAUAGAACCCAUAUUAUAUUAUGUCAAUCUUUCUUCAAUUCUAUCAUAAGUGUCAUAACGUCUAGAUCUAGAGAUCUAUCGCUAGACAUUGACUUAAGGAGUCGUCAUCAAUCUUUGUUAUCUAGGUACGAUUGACCAUCUAAGAAAUCUAUCCUGGAACACUUAAGUUUAAGGAUCCCUAAAAGAAUAGGUUCAGGUCUACUAACUAUAACAGGGUUCGGGAGUUCAGUUACGUGUGAGGAAGGUUAUAGCACCCUCACAACAUCCAUCGAAAGAUGGUACCAGCUUAAUUUUGUGUUAUCUAAUAAGCCUUAAAAAUUUACCAAGUAAUUAAUUAUUGAAAAUUAUUCUCAAUUGACUUUAAUACUUUUAGCAAAAAAUUGAAAAAAUUUUCUCAUCUCAAGAGUAUGCGAGAAAACUAUUGUUUCACUUGUAGAGGUUCCAUCAUCGGAUUAUUUAACAUUAAAGAAAAUUGAAGAAAAUUAAAAAGAAAAAAAUGAUUGCUUUUGUACAGGAAAAAUUGAUACUUUUAACUUUUUUCCAAAAUAUUUUUUAGAAACUUUAAUUUCAAGAAAAAUUGAUACUUUCAACUUUUCCUCAAAAAUUCACUUUUGAAAACUUAUUUUUAAGGAAAAUUGAUACUUUCAACUUUUUCCCAAAAAUAUUUUUUUAGAAAGCUUAUUUUCAAGGAAAAUUAAUACUUUUAACUUUUUCUUAAAAAUAUUUUUUUUUGAAAGCUUAUUUUCAAGGAAAAUUGAUACUUUCAACUUUUCCUUAAAAAUAUAUAUUUUUAAUUUUAUUUAAAGAAAUAAAAUAAAAAUAAAAUAAAAAUAAAGAAAAAUAAAAAUAAAAAUAAAAUAAAAAGUAUUAAACAAUUAUAAUCUAAUCAAAAAAUGAAAAAAAUAAAUAAAUAAUGAAAAAUGAAAAAAAAAAACCUAGGAAUGGCUUGGCUCGGUUUGAGGAAAAAAAGAUAGCUCGAAGACGCGCUCGGCUCGGUUUCGAAAACGGCUCGCACUCGGGUUGAAUGCGGGUCGAAAGUGGGUUGACGCUCCGUCGGGUCGCCUGAUUUCAAAACGCGCGGAUCUUUUGGGCACAGUAAUGCCAAAACGACAUCAUUUUUAGCGGGUAUAAAAGGCUAUUCCUUUUGUUUUUUUAGCAGACCGAUCCUUCCCUCUCUCCCUCUUCCCUUCGUUUUCUCUCCCUUCUCUCUAAACCACGAAGAACUCCAUUUGAAUCUCGUCGGAUUCUGAAAAUUUUUAUCGAAAUCUGAGUUUUUCGUCAGAAAGCUGAUUGGUUUCUGAAAAUAGUCGCCAAAAAUUGGGUAGCUGGCCGGAGAAUUCAAACUUGGCCGAAAAAGUCAUCGAAAAAUUCAACCAAAAUCUAGAUAUUUUUCAGAAAUUUCCAAAAAAAAAUACCAAAAAUUCAAAAAAAUUUUCACCGAGUCCUAGAGCUGUUCUAACGCACCAAAACCCUUUUUUAGCUUCUGUUUCUUUUCUGUUCACUCUCUCUUAGGCAGUGUUUACCCUUUUUCUGUGUGUUCUAUUUCUCUUCCAACACCUAUUUAUAAGGAUUGAUCAGAAGAGUUUCUGAUCAAUCCAUAUUCCCUUUUGGAUUGAGAUUCAAUCUUUGAAUCCAAUCUGGAUUCUGAUUGAAUCCCAAAUUCACGGUAAAACUAAAGUUUCUAUCAUAAUCCAACUCCAAUCAGGUAAGCAUAAAAAGAAAAGAAGAAAGGAAAAAAUAAAAUAAAAAAUAAAAAUAAAAAUAAGGAUAAUAUAUUAAUUAAUAGAUAAAUAAUAAUAUAUAAUAGAUAUAUAAACAGAUAAAAAAAUAAAAAUAUAUACUAAUAAAUAGUAAUAAUAAAUAAAUAAAUAAAUAAUAAAUAAAAUACAAAAUACAGAAUAAAAUAAAAUAAAAUAAAAUAAAACAAAUUGAAAUGGGCUUACCCAUUUGGACCAGGCCUAAUUGAUCCGGGCCUGGACCUAAUUGGGUGUCUACAGCUGCUCCUCUUUGCACAUUUUUUGUGAAACAGGAAUUGCGCAAAGACGUAGACACCCAUUUAAGGCUCCACUCGACCCUUUUUUUACUUUUUUUUGUUAAAAUUCUGAUCAAAACUCCUCUAAGCAGAGGUUAACGACUUUGGAAAACAUAAAUAAAGCCUCUCUAAUCAGAGGCUCAACGACUUUUGAAAAUAAAUAAACAAAGCUCCUCUAAUCAGAGGCUCAAUGACUUUUGGAAAUAAACGGCUCCUCUAAUUAGAGGCUCAACGACUUUGAAAAUAAAUAAAGCUCCUCUAAACAGAAGCUCAACGACUUUUGAAAAAUAAACAAAACUCCUCUAAACAGAGGCUUAACAACUUUUAAAAAUAAAAGGCUCCUUUAAUUAGAGGCUCAACGAUUUUUGGAAAGUAAAUUGCUCCUCUAAUCAGAGGCAUUACAACUUUGAAAAAUAGAUUACUCUUCUAAAUAGAGGCAUCACAACUUCAAAAAAUAAAUUGCUCCUUGACAAUCAUGUCUAAAGGAGUUGAAAAUCGUAUUUGAAGGAAUUUCAGGAGAUUAUGCCCAAAGGUCUUACAAAUCAGCCUUGAUACCGAGAGAUAUCCUAUUUCAAGGAUUAGAAACUUACCUGACAAGCUUUUUUUCAAAUUUGAAACUGUCUUCACAUCUGUCUUCUCUAUGUGAGAUUUUGGAAUACCCCUGCUUCUUGAGUAUAUACUAUGCCAUGUGUGUGAAAUUCAAAGCAUGCUAUGCAAAUGUUGGCUAAUUAAUUCCUAUUCAAUUGUGGUACUCAAGUUUCUCAAGCUAUUUUUUUGGGCAUCGAACCCUUUGAUUCUUCCAAAAACAAGUUGCGCUAUUCUUCCAAGAUCGAGCCAGUGUAACUCUAAACUAUCUCUUCUAUCUCUUUCCAAAUUUAGUGUCCUUAUCAAGAACUGAACAUCUCGAUUUUGCCUUUAUCACUCUUGACUUAUUCAAUGUAAUGUAAAAAUCUUUCAUGCCAUUAUUCAUUCAUCAAUCAUUAUUUCAAACUCAAAAAGUAAGAAUGCAUUUGCACAUUUCUUUCAUUAUAGGGUAUUAAAAGAAAAGAAUAAGAAUGGUUGAGAAACUGUCAACAGAAGAGGCACACAAAGAGUGAAAUAGAAUGUCUUUUAUUAGUAAAAUUUGACAAACUUUGACCAAGAAAAAAAUACAAAGAUAAGUAUGGGGAGUUUCAUGCCCAAAAAUGAAUAAUCGGACAAUCAUGAUCUUAAGGUUUUUUUUAAAAACCCAACCAUCUGAUGUAUUUAACAACUUAGAGCUCCUCCGAAUUUGCUAGUCUCUAUGCCAAUAGAUUUUCAAAUUUGAUGCUAUAUUCUCUUUAUCUAAGCUACCUUUUCAGGUUUUCAACUUAGAUAAACCCCCUAUGACUCAAACCGCCCUUUUAGGGUUUUCGCCUUGAUUCUUUCUUUUUCAUUCACUUUUUUUUCAUUUUUCCUUUUUUCAUUUUUUUAUUUUUUCAUUUUUUUCAAGUAUAGCAUUUCUUCACAACAUCAGAAUUUAUAGGAUGGGUAAAUCAUUUCCAUCCAUCUCAGUCAGUAUCAACGCUCUAUCUGAGAAAGCCCGUUUCAUCAUAUACUGCCUUUCCCAAUUCGGAGUCCAUUUUUUUCUAUUAUCGUGCUGGAUUGAGAGGAUUCUCUUCAAGACCAACUCUCCUUCUCGAAAACAACGAGGUCAAAUUUUUUUAUCAUGAGCCUUCAUCAUUCUUCUUUGAUAUAGCUGACCAUGGCACCGUGCAGUCGAUCUCUUUUUUUUUUUAUGAAAUUUAACUGUUCAUAGCGUUCUCGAAUCCAUUCAGCUUCUUCCAACUCAACUUCUUUUAGAACCCUCAAGGAUAGGAUCUUUACUUUCACUGGUAGUACAGCUUCUAUCCCAUAGACAAAAAAAAAAAGUUACCUCAAUAGAGGUGCGAACUAACGUACGAUAUGCAUGCAAUGUAAAUGGCAACUUCUCAUUUCAAUCUUUAUAAGUCUCAGUCAUCUUCUCAAGAAUUCUUUUUAUGUUCUUAUUGGCUACCUCAACUGCCUCAUUCAUUUUCGGAUGGUAUGGUACUGAGUUAUGAUGUUUGAUCUUGUAUUGAGCACAUAUUUCUUGCAUCAUCUUACUAUUGAGAUUCUUGACAUUGUCUAAAAUAAUUCUCUCUGAAAGUUUAUAUCUACAGAUGAUCUCUCUCUUUAUGAACUUGUAAACCAUAGAUCGUGUUACACUUACAUAUGAUGCUACCUCCACCCACUUUGUGAAGUAAUCUAUCAUCAUAAAAAUAAAUCUAUGCCCAUUAGAAACCUUUGGGGUGAUAAGACCAAUGACAUCCAUGCCUCACAUUGAGAACGACCAAGGUGGUGUCAUAACAUGUAAAGCAGAUGAUGGAGCAUGAAUCUUAUCAGCAUAUAUUUGGCAUUUAUGAUAUUUACGAGCAUAGUUAAUACAAUCACUCUCAAUUGUCAACUAGUAAUAUCCUGCUCUUAUGAUCUGUCUCGUCAUUAUAUGUCCACUAGUAUGUGCCCCACAUAUUCCAUCAUGCACUUCUUCAAUGAUUUUCUUUCUUUCAACCUUACUUACGCACCUUAGUAAUACCUGAUCUCGACUUCUUUUGUACAGAACAUCUUCAUCCAAGAAAAAAGCUCAUAAUCAAUCUUCGGAUGACCCUUUUAUCAUUUUUUGUUGCUUGAACUGGGUAUUGCUGAUCCUUAAUAUAUUGUAGGAUAUCAUAAUACCAGGGUUUCCCAUCUUUCUCCUCUUCUACAUUAGAAAAAUGAGUUGGCAUAUCUUUAACAUCUAGCUUGAUGGGCUGAAUGUCAAUAUUAUCAUUAAUUCGAAUCAUUGCAGUCAGAGUAGCCAAUGCAUCGACAAUCAGAUUCUCUUCUCGAGGUAAAUGGUCAAACUGGAUAUCUUUAAAUUAUUUUUAUCAACUCUAGAAUAUACUUAUGAUAUGGAAUGAGUUUUGAAUCUCUCGUCUCUCAUUCCUCUUUUAACUGAUAUAUAACUAAAGCUGAGUCUUUAAACACUUUUAAUGCUUGUACUCUUCUUUCUAUAGUAGCUUGUAAGCCCAUGACACAUGCCUCAUAUUUAGUAAUGUUAUUUGUGCAAUUAAAAUUUAACCUUGCUGUUACAAGGCAGUAUUGUUCUUUUGGAGAGAUCAGAAUUUGGCCCAAUUUCAUGUCCCAAGGCAUUGGCAGCUCCAUCAAAAUACAUUCUCCAACACUUUUCUUCCUGCUCCCCUUUCUCCAGUUAGGAAAUAGUCAUUAGGUCUUCAUCAGGGAAUUCUAACCUCAUUGGUUCAUAUUCUUCAGUAGCACGAUCUGCAAGGAACUCCGCUACAAUGCUCUCUUUUAUUGCCUUUUGGCUCACAUAUAUAAUAUCAUAUUCUGAGAGCAUUACUUGCCAUCUAGCAAUUCUUCCAAACAAAGAAGGCUUCUCGAAGAUAUAUUUAAUUGGAUCUAAUUUUGCUAUAAGCCAUGUGGUAUGAUAGAGCAUAUACUGUCUGAGUCUUUUGGCAGUCUAUGCUAAUGCACAACAUAUUUUCUCCAAUGAGGAAUACUUGGAUUCAUAUUCUGUGAACUUUUUACUUAGAUAAUAAAUAGCUCUCUCUUUUCGACUAGACUCGUCUUGCUGCCCCAACACACAUCUCAUUAAAUUUUCACACACUGUCAAGUAUAAAAUUAAAGGUUUCCCUGAAACAGGUGGCACCAACACUGGAAGGUUUGACAAAUAAUGCUUAAUUUUAUCAAAAGCCACUUGACAUUCCUCAUUCCAUUUUUCAGGAUUAUUCUUACGGAGAAGCUUAAAUAUAGGAUCACAUUUAUAGGUAAGCUGAAAGAUAAAUCGAGAAAUGUAAUUCAAUCUUCUCAGAAAACCUCGAAUUUCUUUUGGUGUACUCGGAGGUGACUAAUUUUGAAUGACCCAUAUCUUGUUUGGAUCGACUUCAAUUCCUCUUUCACUGAUCACAAAACCUAGUAAUUUCUCUGACUUUACCCCAAAGGUGCAUUUGGCUGGGUUUAACUUGAGCUGAAACCUUCAUAAUCUCUCAAAUAACUUUCUGAGGCUGGUGACAUGAUCUUCAUCCUCACAAGAUUUUGUAAUCAUAUCGUCUACAUACACCUCGAUCUCUUUAUGCAUCAUAUCAUAAAAGAGUGUUACUAUGACCCUUUGAUAUGUUGCCCCAGUAUUCUUUAACCCAAAAGGCAUGACCUUGUAACAAAAAGUUCCUCAUAUAGUCAUGAAAGUAGUCUUUUUCAUAUCAUCUGUAGCUAUUUUUAUCUGAUUAUACCCUGAGAAACCAUCCAUAAAAGAGAAAAUUGAAUGCCUAGCCAUGUUAUCUACCAGUAUGUCAAUAUGAGGCAAAAAAAAGUUAUCUUUUAGACUAACCUUAUUCAAGUCACGAUAGUCUACACAUAUUUGUACCUUUUCAUCUUUCUUAGAAAUUGGUACUAUAUUGGCUACCCACUCUGGAUACUUAGCCACUUAUAGAAAACUUGCAUCAAACUAUUUCUUCAUUUCUUUUUUGAUCUUUAGUAGCAUUUCAGGCUUCAUUCACCUUAGUUUCUACUGAACCGACUUACAUUUUGGCUUUAGGGGCAAUCUGUGUUCUACUAUCUUCAUGUUCAGUUCUGGCAUAUCUUGGUAAGAUCAAGCAAAUACAUCUACAAAUUUUUAAAGUAGAUCUGCCAAACAUUGUCUAUCCCCUGAUGAAAGUGAAGUGUCAAUUCUGACAUCUUUCUUAUUCUCUUCAUCUCUCAGAUUCACUAAGUCAACUAUCUCCUGAUGAGGCUUAAUUGGCUUAUUUUCUUGUUCAAUCAAUCUCAUUAGGUCUGGAGGCAUAACAUAUUCCUCAGAAUUCUUUUCAUUGUCAAGUUCAUCAGUGUUAAUUGAAUUCUCAAAACUAACCUCUUGAUUGUUAUCAUAAUUAUCUUCAUGUUCAUUUAAAGACCUAAAAUUGAAUGAAAUAGGAUAUGUUGCAAGAUGUGUUUGGAAAAAUGGCAAUAAUGAAGACACAAGAAGAAAUGAAUGAAAAUGCAUCCUUCUUAAUUUUUAUUAAAAUAAUAAAAGAUAAAUGGCCCAAACAAGAAAGAUCACCCCAAUGCCUUGGGCAAUAGCUAUUGGGAUGUUACAAUUAUAUUGUAUUAGUUUCAAAAGUCACAGGCAUUUCAAUGGCACUCCAAUUGUUCAACUCAUAAUUUGACAAACAAAGGCGGACCCACCCCUCUUGAUUAAGCCUCACUUCAUCUUCAAUAGCAUUAAUGGUUAACUGGGCAAAAGCCUUUUCCACGUUUUUUCUUAUAUCUGGGUACAUGAAUCUUUCAGGUCUGAAAGUCUUGUACAGGUGUGGGAUAACCAUUAGUCUUACUAUUUUUCCUUCUGACCUUCUCUUGAUCUCCCAUUCUGCUACCUCAUAGCCUAAGCCUAACCUUUCACUAUUGUCUAUCAUUGUCAAGGGUUUUUUUAUUCCCUGUAAGUUUUUACCCAGCCCUAAUCCUGGAUACCAGCCCUUAUUGAUGACUUGGCUCAUCACUAUCCUUAAAAAAGGUUAAUUUUUACCUACAGAAUUAACUAGUUCAAAAGAUCGAUAUGAGCAUUCUACAGCUUCUUCGACAGCCUUUACAUACGGAGCAUUCAACGGUUGGGUCACUAGCAUAUCUUCUUCUCUAACUACCACUACUAAUUGACCUUCUACAUUAAACUUGAUCUUUUGGUGCAACGUAGAGGGUACAGCUCUUGCCAUGUAAAUCCAUGGCCUUUCCAAUAGACAAUUGUAGGAUGGAGAGAUAUUCAUCACUUGAAACUUCACAUUAAAAGUACAUGGCCCAAUUUGCAAGGGCAUCUUGAUAUCCCCCAGGACUUUUUUUUUAGUCUCAUCAAAAGCUCUCACGAUCAUCUGACUAUCUUUCAUAUGAGAGUAGUCAAUGGGUAGCCUCGCCAAAGUUGACAUAGGCAUGACAUUAAUAGCAGAGCCAUUAUCAAUAAAGACUUUGGCUAUGAUAUGGCUCUUGCACUUGAUCGUGAUAUGCAAAGCCUUGGCAUUUCUCUUUUCCUCCAAGGGAACUCAUCAUCGCAGAAUGAAAUAUGAUUCGAAAUGACUAGAUUUCUAGCCAGGUGGUUCACAUAUUUAACAAAUACAUUAUGUGCCACAUAUGCCUGGUUCAAUACUUUUAGUAGGGCAUUUUGAUGUGGCUCUGAGUUUAACAGCAGUGAUAGUAAUGAGAUUCGAGCUGGCAUUUUAUUCAAUUGUUCAACAACUGAACACUCACUAUGUUUUACUAGCUUCAGGAAUUCAUAAAUUAUUUUUCUGACACCGACUUCGGAUGAUCUUUUUCAGGUUCUACUUCAGGGUUAUUCCGUCGUUCUCUUUCUUUGGCCUUUUUUCUUCGAGCCUUUUUCAACAUUUCUAGAGUGUAGCACCUUUCACUUCAGGUAAUGCCUCCUACACCAGUUAUAUUGGAAGAGUCAACUUUAGAAACAUCCCUUUUUUGCCCCUAAACUACUGUAUCAUAGCCAUAUCUCUAAGGUACAGCUUUAUCAUUCUUGUAUGGGAAAAGAGUCAGAACUUUAAAAGUUAUCGGCCUGGGAAUGAGUUUGUCUAUGAUUGACUUUGGCUUGUUCCCAUAAUAAAUUAUUACUAGCUUUGAAAACAGCUUUGCAGGCUUAUCAGUCAUGGACACCUCAAUACUUUCUAAGUCUUCUCCUAUUUUAUAGACCUCCAUCUGGUAUGAAUUUAAGAGUUUUUUCAUCUCUUGGUGAAACUGCUCACAAGUUUCAAUAGAGUGACCCAUUGCUCCACUAUGAUAUUUACAACAAGUACCAACCAAAUAUACUCCAUGAUAGCUGUGUGGACCCACCAGUUGUAUCAUGUCAACUUUUCAUAGAACAUCAAACAGUUGGCUGAGAGGUGUCUUAAUAUCUGCCACUUUUUUCUUCAAAUGGCACUCAUGUUCUUCACUUAGAGCAUUCACAUUAUGAUUAGGUAAGGGAUUGCCACUAACAUUCGAUGCAGUCACCCCUCCUGUAUCAAAGUUAAUCAUUCUAAAUUGCUAUUUAUUAAAGCUUAUAGCCUGAGCUUCAGUCUUUUUUUUUUUCAAGACUCUUUUGUUGGAUGCUUCACCUUCUUUCAACUUAUCAUUUUUGAUGGCACUCUGAUAAUUUCUCCUAAAAUUACCAUAUCAGUAAAAUUUUUGGUUGCAUUCCCUAUCAUCUUUUCAUAAUAGAGAGGUUUCAAAGUGUUAACAAACAACACUGUAGUCUCUUUCUUACUCAGAAGAGGUUGUACCUGAGAAGCUACAUCCCUCAAUCUCUGGGUGUAUUCUUUAAAAGACUCGUUUGCCUUUUUCUCCAGGUUCUGUAAAGAUAAAUGAUCAAGAACCAAAUCGAUAAUAUAUUGAUAUUGACUAAUGAAGUCAUGAGUCAUAUCACUCCAAGAGUGAAUGCGGGUUCUAUCCAGCUGAACAUACCACCUGGUAGCAGAGCCUGUAAGGCUAUCUUAAAAAACAUGUAUCAAGAGUUUUUCAUCAUGAGCAUGGGCUGUCAUUUUUCGGUAAUACAUGGUGAUGUGAGUUUUGAGGCAUUUCGUACCAUCAUAUUUCUCAAAUUUUGGUACUUUGAACUUUUGUGGAAUGACUACAUCCGAGACUAAGCACAGCCCAGCAGCAUCAACAGAACCAUAAAAUCCAAUCCCUUCCACAGUUCGUAACCUUUGUUCUAGCAUACUAAUCUUUGCAUCUUCCUGAAACUUCGUUGCUUUUGCUUUCUCCUUAUUUUUCAAGUCAUCUAAAUCAAGAACUGGUUUUACCACCUUUUCAGUAAAGACAUGAUUUACAUAGCUAUGGUAAUGCCCUGGAUUGAAGGCUGAUGGCAUUCCAGGAUAUGUAAGAUAUGUGAAGUGUUGUGGUGGAACCUCUUAUGUAGACUGGGCUUGAAGUGGACCAAAACCUGGAGGAUACAAAAGGUCAGCCACUUCUUGUAAUGGGAAAAGUUGUUGGCUUGUAUUUUCUUCUACUUAUUUUCCUUUGUUCAGCUUAUUAAGUGCAUCUAAAAUCUUGCUCAACUCAUUUUAAAUUUUUUCCUGUGCUUUUUCUAGCUUUUCAAAUAUGUGAGAGUUUUUCUGCUCCAUUUGUCUGGUUUUGGCUCUUGUGUUAUAUUGAUGAACAAGGUUCUCGCUAGAUAGAGCUAUCCUUGAACCUUGAGUACCAUAUCUUAAAAUUAGUAAAUUUGUAUGACUAUCUCAUGGUUACUUUGUUAAGUGUAAUGAAUGAGAAUGCAAUGAAUGAAAAAUACAUGUAUGCAAAGAACAUUUGCCUUAAAGACGAUAUUUAAUUGAAAGAUUUCAUUUAUUCCAAAAAACUUUUAUUUACAUUGAGUUUAUCAUCCUAGAAUUAUAAUCAUAACACUUUUUGAUCUGUUCAUACUGGGCUUUGGCUUCUUUGAUGAAGUUCAACAGACACUGUCUAUGUUCUCCUACUAGGGUCAUCACUUGUUUCAAUGCCUUUGUUUCUUCCACCAUCUCUCUUGCCUUGCAUACCUUUUUACAAAUUUGGGUCGUUAGGUGCUCAAUAUAUUUCUGUCUUUUUAAGUUCUUUCUUUUACCACACUAGACUUGGUAUGAUAACUCUCUAUGCUCCCUAACCAAUGCAGCAAUGUGGUCUUUUUAUUCAUUCAACUUUUGUCUUAGCCUGCUCAGAUAGUUGUUUAGCAUGUUAUUCUCUGUCUGUACUUGGGUACUUUUUUUUUUCUAAUUUAACAUAUUCUUGCUUUAAUCUUACAUUCUCUUCAGUCAGCACAACAAUGGUUAUCUCUUUGGCCCUUUCUCUCACACAUAAUCUUUUUUGCUCUUAGUGUAGCUCUGCUAAGUCAUCAACAGUUGUAUCACGUUCUCUACAAUUUUGUGAACUCUAGCUUCAUGGCUUUCAGCUCUAUCUUUUCACUGGUUUUUUUUUUUCUUGAAGCUUCUGGAUUUCUUGCUUUAACUUACCCUUUUCAGACUCAAAUUCUUUUGUUGCAAGCUCUAAUUCUGAUGGUGUCUCUUCAAGUUUUUCUCUUGUUGGUGGUUGAAAGCUUUUAUAAGUGAAUACCAUUUCUUAUCUUCGUUUUGCUCUCCAAACCAAAUACCAUGGAGUGACUUUAUCAGUAAAUGGUCCAGGACCCACUCUUCAGGGAUUUUUCUAUACUUUAAUCAUCUCAUUCAUCCUCUGAAAUGCUUUUGGCUCACUGUAAGAGAAAUCUAACUGAUGAAGCCCAUGCGUCAUAGGAAUGAACUGUUCUGCCCCAAACUGCUUUCUCACUAGGAGUGGUGCAUAAUUUGUCGCUCCCUAUAAACCCAGAAGUGGAACCACGGUGUUAUCCUCACAUUGAUACAACAUAGGCUCACGAAUCAUCCAUGGGGCCAACCAUCUUACUUCAGCACUGGUCAAUUUUUGUAGGAAAGUUAUCCAUUCCUUUUUAGACUUUCGUUCUGACCACCCACUUUCACAGAAUUCCUUAAUCAGAGCUCGAUUGUCGAUAUAAAGCUUUGAGAAAGCACUUUUUCCCCAUUCGAAAUGGCUUUUCAUCCAUAAGUAUAAUAACUGCAUACAACCUAUAAAGCGCCAUCCAUUUCGAUGACAAUAUCUCAAAGAUCUAAUAGUCUCCGCUAAUAUUACCGUUGACAGGUUACAGCCAUUGAUCACACUCUUGAAGAAGUCAACCAUUGCUAUCUCAAUAAAAACCAAAACCUUUGGGAAGAUCACCAUUCUGUAUAUGGCUAAGGCAAAUACAUCUAACCCCCGUUCUUUGUUGGUAUGUUGCACUAGAAACUCAUGAAAAAACUUUCAAGGUAGGCAAACCUAUUCUUGUUUCUUCAUUGUAUGAGAAUCCACAACUUCUUUGUCUAUCCCCAUGAGUUGAGCCAAACCCUUACGAAAUCUUAACUUGUGUUUUUUGACAUAUAUCUUAUCAGGAGCCUUGAGGUGCAAACCUAAUAAAAUCGAAUAUUUUUCGAUGGUUGGUGUCAUAUCAACUUCAUUAAAGAUGAAACACUUGUAUGCAAGAUCUUAGAAUUAUGCUGCAGCUCUGAUUAGUUGAUCGUUAACAACUACUGCUAGAAGGUGUGCUAUAUGCCCAUGUCUCUGGCAAAACUGCUCUUAUCUUGACAAACUAAUCUUCUUCCAUAUGUCAACCAAAUCCUCUAGAUUAUUUUUUUUGAGGAGGAUAGAUGUUUCUCGAGACAAGAUAGAAUCAUAUAUGAUUGGUAAACAAUCCCCCAUUUUUAAUUGAAUCUUUUCUAACUGGAUUCUUACUUCGUUGGGUGCCUCACAAGGUGCUAAUACGGAUGAAGAACAAACUAGUCGUUCUGUGGAGUCCAUGAAAAAUUUUUGUUGAAGAUCGUCUCUUCAAGCAAAUGUUCUUUAUGCAACUUUAUGACAUGAGCAUGAACCAAUGCAAAAGAAUAAGAGAAAAGGUUAGUAUGCCCAAAAAAAAAGAAAUAAAUAAAUAACUAAGUAAAUUAAAACAUCACACAGAAUAAGAGGGAUGAAUCCUAUGCUUUUGGUCAAUUCUAAAAGGGAAGAGUGAUGGCUCUAUCUAUAGGUUAGGCACUCUUAAGGUUCACUAUAUGUGGUUGAAGGUUAAAGUCUAAAAGUUUCCAAAUUGCUCCUUACAUCAUUGUCCAUCAUAGACUAGUAAGGCACCCUAAUCCUCACCCAUAUCCUCACCCAUUACAGGUUACAAGCGAAAAAGGUUCAAUUUGAGUGGGAGUAUUUUGCUGGCCACUGCGGAGAAAUUAAACCUCACGAAAGCAAUAGGUACUUUACUCCCUCCUAGAGGGACGAAGCUCGGGUUAUAGAGCUUAUGUUAUGCAUAUGCAUAUGAAUGACAUAAUUAAUAAAGUAAAUAAACAUGAAUGAAUAAAAGAAUCUAUACAAAAAGUUUAAUUUUAUUCGACUUUUGGAUAACACAAAUUUAUUUGAUGGCCUAACUCUCGGACAUCCCUAGUGGAGUCGCCAAGCUGUUAUAACGUCUAGAUUUGGGAAUCUAUCGCUAGACAUUGACUUAAGGAGUCGCUACCAAUCUUUUUUAUCUAGGUGUGAUUGGCCACCUAAGGAAUCUAUCCUUUCAGGGAACACCUAAGUUUAAGGGUCCCUAAAAGAAUAGGUUCAGGUCUACUAACCAGAACAGGGUUCGAGAGUUCGAUUACGUGUGAGGAAGGUUAUAGCACCCUUACAACGCCCAUCGAAAGAUGGUACCAGCUUAAUUUUAUGUUAUCCAAUAAGCCUUAAAAAUUUACCAAGUAAUUAAUUAUUAAAAAUUAUUCUCAAUUGACUCUAAUACUUUUAGCAGAAAAUUAUUGUUUCACUUGCAAAGGCUCCAUCGUCGGAUUAUUUAACAUUAAAGAAAAUUCAAGAAAAUAAAAAGGAAAAAAAUGAUUGCUUUUGUACAGGGAAAAUUGAUACUUUCAACUUUUUCCCAAAAUAUUUUUUAGAAACUUUAAUUUCGAGAAAAAUUGAUAAUUUCAACUUUUCCUCAAAAAUCCACUUUUGAAAACUAUUUUUAAGGAAAAUUGAUAAUUUCAACUUUUCCCCAAAAAGGAUUUUUGAAAACUUAUUUUUAAGAAAAAUUGAUACUUUCAACUUUUUCUCAAAAAAGAUUUUUGAAAACUCAUUUUUAAGAAAAAUUGAUACUUUUAACUUUUCUUCAAAAAUAUUUUUUUUAGAAAACUUAUUUUCAAGGAAAAUUGAUACUUUCAACUUUUUCUCAAAAAUAUUUUUUUUGGAAGCUUAUUUUCAAGGAAAAUUGAUACUUUCAACUUUUCCUUAAAAAUAUUUUUUUUGAAUUUUAUUUAAAGAAAUAAAAAAAUAAAAAUAAAAUAAAGAAAAAUAAAAUAAAAAGUAUUAAAUAAUUCUAAUCUAAUAAAAAAAAAUAAAUAAUAAUAAAUAAAUAAAUAAAUAAUGAAAAAAAAACCUGAGAACGGCUCGACUUCGAAAACGGCUCGCACUCGAGUUGAACGCGGGUCGAAAGCGGGUUGACGCUCAGAUCGGGUCGCUCGAUUUCAAAACGCGCGGAUCCUUUGGGUAUAGUAACGCCAAAACGACGUCGUUUUCAAUGGGUAUAAAAGGCUAUUCCUUCUAUUUUUUCAGUAGACUAAUCAUUCCCUUUCUCUUUCUUCCCUUCCUUUCCUCUCCCUUCUCUUUAAACCACGAAGAACUUCGGUUGAAUCUCAUCGGAUUCUGAAAAUUUUCAUCGAAAUUUGAGUUUUUCGUCGGAAAGCUGAUCGGUUUCUGAAAAUAGUCAUAAAAAAUUAGGUAGUUGGUCGGAGAAUUGAAACUUGGCCGAAAAAGUCGUCGAAAAAUUCAAACUUCGCUUAAAAAUUCAACCGAAAUUUGGAAAUUUUCCAAAAAUUUCAAAAAAAAAUCGUAAAAAAUUUUAAAAAAUUCUCACCGAUUCUUAGAGCUGUUCUAACACAUCAAAACCCUUUUUUAGCUUCUGUUUCUUCUCUGUUCACUCUCUCUCAACCAGUGUCUGCCUUUUUUCUAUGUGUUCUAUUUCUGUUCUUCCAGCACCUAUUUAUAGGGAUUGAUCAGAAGUCUAUUCCCUUUUGGAUUGGGAUUCAAUCUUUGAAUUCAAUCUGGAUUCUGAUUAAAUCCCAAAUUCAUGGUAAAACUAAAGUUUCUAUCCUAAUCCAACUCCAAUCGGGUAAGCAUAAAAAGGAAAGAAGAAAAGAAAAAAUAAAAAUAAAAAAUAAAGAUAAUAUAUUAAUUAAUAGAUAAAUAAUAAUAUAUAAUAGAUAUAUAAACAAAUAAAAAAAUAUAUAUGUACUAAUAAAUAGUAAUAAUAAAUAAAUAAAAUAUAAAAAUACAAAAUACAGAAUAAAUAAAAAAAUAAAAUAAAAUAAAACAAAUUGAAAUGGGCUUACCCAUUUAGACCAGGCCCAAUUGAUCCGGGCUUGGACUCAAUUGGGUGUCUACAAUAAGAACCAGUUGAAACCAUCAAAAUCACCAUUAAAUUAAAUAAAAGCUCAAAUAAAAAUACCCAAUUAGUUUUUUUUUUAUAAAAGCCCAAUAAAUAUUAAAUCAAUUUUUAUGAAAAAGUGAAAGAUAAUUUAUGUAAUUUUUUUGCUUUCAAUUUUAUAAUAUUUAAUAAAUUUAAGCUCAAUAUUUAUUAAAUUUGUUUUAAUAUGAAUAUUACUUAAAAAAAUAGAAAAUAAAAGAAAAAAACAAUUAUUUUAGAAAAUUUUCUAAAUUCAUUUUACUAAAACUAUUAAGUUUUUUUUCUUUAAUACUCCUUGUGUGUAAAUUUUUCUUUAAAUUCUAUUAAAAUAUUAAAAAUACUUUAAAAAUAUUUUCAAUAUUUAAAACAAAAAAAAAAAACAAAAUUGUCAUGAAAAUGAAAUUAAAUAUAGAAAUAAAAAGAUUGUUAUAUCAAAAUCUUAAAAAAAGAUUAAUACAUAAUUAAUUGAUACAAUAAUUCUUUUAAUAUGCAUCAUAGGCGUGUAAUACUUUAUUGGGUAACUAAGUUUUUGAAUUUUAAAUCUUUAUUUCAAAAUGUUAAACAUCUAAUUUAAAAUCAAUUAAUAGUAAGUGGAUAGGCCCAACCAGAAUAUAAGACUAAUAAAUUAGAUAUUUAUUAGAUGUGUGAUAAUUUCAUUUUAACAGGCUCCAUUACAUGUAGGCGAAAAUAGAAGAAACCUAUCACAUAAUAGAUUUGGAAAGAGUAACAGAAGAAAAUCCUAAUUCUGAUACCAUAACAAAGAAGAAAAUAAUGAAAACUUUUAUUAUAGUGACUUGUAUUUUACAAUGAGGCUCAAAACCUAUUUAAAAAAAGGUAAAAUGUUACAAAAUAAUAAAUACAAUAAAUAGAAAUAAUGACUAAAUCAAUUUCCAUAAUUAGCUAAAUCAAUAUCUAAUAUUUUCUUAAUCAAUAUCAAAUCAGCUAAAUAAAUAUUAAAUUAAUCUAAAAUAUUAUUGAAAUAUUACUAGAAUAUUACUAUAAUAUCAUUGACACCCUCUCGGUAAACUCAAGAUGGUAUUGUAAAGGCCAACUUGAGUUUGGAAACUUGGAUAAUAAAUUAACCAGUGGAUGUGUUUUUGUGAAAAUAUCUGCUUGUUGAUUAGCAUUGGUAACAAGAACAAGUUGGAGAGUUUGAGCGAGCAUAUGGUAAUGAAUAAAGUGGCAAUCAAUUUCAUUAUAUUUAGCAUGCUUAUGAAAAACAUCAUUGUAAGCUAUUUGAAUAAUAAUUUAUUAUCGCAAAAUACAAGAAUAUUAGAGUGAUGAGAAACAUUUAUAUCCUAAAAUAGCCAUCAUAAUCAUAGAAGUUCUGAUAUGGCAUCUGUAAGUGCUCGGUACUCAACUUCAGUGUUAGAACGAGGCACCAUAGUUUGUUUCUUAUUUCGUCAAGAAAUAAGAGAAGAACCAAGAAAGAAACAAUAGCCUGUGGUAGAACAUUGGUCAAUAGGAUCUCUUGCCCAAUCAGCAUCACAAUAAUAAUACAAUUCCAAAUAGGAACUAGAGGAAAAAUAUAAACCACGGAACAUAGUAUUCUUGACAUAUCAUAGGUUUUGGGGGAUAGUAGCAAUAUGAGUAGAUUGAAUAGUUGACAUAAAUUGACUAACCAAAUGAAUAGCAUAGGCAAUGUUUGGAUAAGUAACUGUUAAGUAUACAAUACUACCCACUAGAGUUUGAUACAAAGAAAAGUCUUAAAGUGGUUUACCAUCAGAAGGAGAAAACUUCAAAUUUUGUUCAAGUGGUGAUGAUGCAAUCUUGCUAUCAAUUAAACCUGCUCGAGCAAUAAGAUCAGAAGCAUACUUUGUUGGAGUCAAAUGUAAGCCAGUAGAAUCACUAGUGAUUUCAAAGACCCAAAAAAUAACUUAAAGGACCAAGAUUUUUCAUUUCAAACUUAGAAUGAAGAAAAGUUUUCAAAUCUUGAAUGUUAUUUGCAUCAUUACCCGUAAUGAUCAUAUCAUCCACUAAAGUAAGAAAAGAGUAAUACCCUUUUCAAUAGUUUAAGUAAAAAGAACAAAAUCAUAAUUGCUAAAUGUAAAACCAAGUUCUGUAAUAAUGAUACUAAACUUCGAGAAUCAAGCUUUGAAGGCUUACUUAAGACCAUAUAAAGUGCAUCAAAGAUGACAUACCAUGUUAGAAGGUAUAAAUGAACCAGGAGGUGGCUUCAUAUAAAUUGCCUCAGCAAGAUCACCAUCUAAGAAGGCAUUUUUAACAUCCAUUUAAUAGGUUGGCCACUUUCUAGCUACAGCAAUAGCUAAUAACGAAUGAAUAGAUGUGAGACAUGCAACUGGAGUAAAAGUCUCCUCAUAGUCAAUGCUAUAUUCUUGUCUAAAUCCUUGAGCAAUAAGACAAGCUUUGUAACAUUUCACUAACUCAUUAGAUUGAGUCUUGAUCUUAUAGGCCCAUUUACAAUCAAUCACUGACUUACUAGAAGGUCAUUCAACAAUAUCUUAAGUAUAUUUUCUUAAAAGUUUAAAGCUUUUUUGUCAUUGCUUACUACCAUAUAGAAUUAGAGAUAGCUUCAUGAAAAUUGUGAGGUUUAUGUAACAUAGCUAAAGUAUAAUAAUAAUGAAAAUCACAAAGUUGAGUGUUGGGUUCCCUUAUCCAGGUGGAAUAAUGAAAUAGAGGCAGUAUGAAUUGUGAAAGAACAACUGUAUCAACAAGAGCCUUAGUUAGAUCUGACAUAGUAGGAGUGAAAGAAGAAAUAUUACUGUUUGAGUCAAAAAUACCUAUAAUAAUCUCUUUAUUUAAAGAAAAACCAAAAGAUGAAUUUGUAAAAAUACAUGGAAAAAAAACAUGGUGAAUGUAAUGCGGACACACUAGUAAACUUUUUAUUUUCUAAAAAAAAUAACAUAUCUUGAGAUGCGAAAACAUUUAGACAUAAUAGCAAUACCCCUUGUGUUUUAUAUCAUAACCCAAUAAACAACACAAUCUAGCUCUAAGUUUAAGUUUAGUCCUUUCAUGAGUCAGAAGUAGAACAAAGCAAACACAUCCAAAAACUUUGAGAGAAUGGUAAUUAGGUACCUUGUAAUAUAUACAUUUAUAUGGAGAUUAUGUGCCUAGUACUAGUGUAGGAACACAAUUAAUAAUGUAAAUAGUAAUAAGAGCAGCUUCAUCCCAAAAAUGUUCAAGAAGAGAAGAGAAAAUGAGAAGGGCACGAAUUUUAUCAAGUAUAUGAUGAUGUUUUCUUUCAACUCGACCAUUUUGUUGUGAAGUUUACCUAUGGGAAAAAGUUUUAUCAUCUUUUAAUAAGUUACGAAACUCAAUUUUUGUAUAUUCAGUAGCAUUGUCUAACCUGAAGAUUUUUAUUUUUUUUUUAAAUUAAGUUGGUAUCAUGUUAUUGAAUUCACAAAAAAAUUGAUAAAAGUUCAAUUUUUUGUUUGAAUAAAUAUAUCUAAGUAUAACGAGAGAAAUUGUCAAAAAAUAUAAUAAAGUAAUCAUCAAAAAACAAUAAAAAAUAUUAUGAGAAACAUUACCUAAGACACCAGUGGAAGCAAGUGACUUUAUUCAAGAAAUUGAUGCAUGUCCUAGCCUAGAAUGCCAUAAAUCUAAAGAAACUAAAGAGUUGGUUGUUUGAGAUGUUGUAGUAUUAAUCGAAUUUUCAAAGUUUCAAGCUUAAACAGUGUUUCAAUCUUAUGCCAUGUCCCAACUUUCUGAUCUGUUUAAGGAUCUUGUACAAUAUAGCCAUAUUGUUGUGAAAAAUACAAGUCAAGACCAAGGUCACAAAGUUGGCCACCAAAAAGCAAAUAUAAGGCAAGAUUAGAAAAAAAGUAAGUGCUAGAUAUAUAUGGUUUUGAGGUUUCAAUAAUAUCAAUAUGGCUAGCUUUUAAGAUAGAUCCAUUUACUGUUUUAAUGAUUGAACCAUUAGGUACAAGUAUCUUGCUUUUAAAUAAAGAAUGAUCACUAGUCAUAUGAUUUUUAUAAAUAGUAUCAAACAACCAAAUAUUACUUGAUGUGGCAGCAGACAUGGUAGGAACAUGAGAUCGAGAUAAUACUUGAUUGAAUAAAGUUUAAAGAUCAGUGAUGGAAAUUGUAAUAAUUUCAGAAGAACACAUAAAAGUAUUUGGUUCAGUAGUUGUUGCCACAGCAAUCUUGUCAGUGUGAGGAUUAUGAAUUUGCCUAUCGUUAUGAUAAUAUUUAGCUCUACAUUUCGGAACAAAAUGAUCAGUCCUCCCAUUUCGUGAACAAGAUUUGUGGAAAAUAAAGCUAGUAUUUUUCUACGGAGUAGUAGCAACAAUAGUAUUAGCACUAUGAGUUCGACUUAUACCCAAUCAAAUUUCCUAAGAUAUCAAUUCCAUAAGGGCAUUAUUCAUAGUCGGUAAAGGAUGUUGGUGUAAAAGUGAAAACUUGAUAUUCUCAAAUUAAUCUUAAAGUGCCAUUAGAAAUUGAAUAAGAUGAAUUUGAUUUCGAUAAGUAAUUAAAUUACCAACAUCACUUUCAUCCUUGAGUUUCAACUCAAAAUUCUCAAGCAUGUCCCAUAAAUGUUGCAUUUUAGAAUAAAAAUAAUCAAUCGACUGACAUGAUUCUUGACAAAAGUGAGAUAAAGUGGUCAAAAUAUAAUAUUGAUGAGUAAGGAUAAUAGAACUGUAUCAUGUGGCAAGAAAAUCCCAAGCAUCUUUAGUAAGUUCAAAUUACCCAAAAUGUACAUUGAUAGAAGAAACAAUGGUGUCAGUGAACCAUGUAAGAAUUUGAAAAAUCUUACUUUUCCAUUCCUUUAGUCGAUCUGUAAAUUUAUCAUUGCUUUGACUUCUUUCUUUUCUGGUGUUUUGCAUCUUUCGAUAACAAUAAGUCAUAAUUUCAUCUCUUUUAGAUAAUUAUGCAUAGCUGUAGCCCACCGAUUGCAGUUAUUUCCAUCAAUGGUAAUUGAAAUUGGUUGUACAUUUUGUCGUUGAAUACUUGCCAUUAAGCUUUUGGUUGAAAAAAAUGAAAUGAAGAUGUGGGAAGUUAUGAGUCUUGAUAUAAAAGAUGAAUUUUGAAUAUGAGAAAAGAAACAAAAAAUUUGAAGCAAGGAAGCAAAAAAAAUGAAGUUAGGAACGAAAAUCAACCAAGAAUCAAAAUAAACAAAUAUUGGUAAUUCCAAAGUAAUUCACUUUUGGAAUGAAUCAUGAAAUUGUUUUGAUACCAUAUUAAACAUCCAACUUAAAAUUAAUUGGCUAUAAGUAUAGAGGUCGAAUUUGACUAUAAGAUUAUAAAAAAUUAUAUAUUUAUUAGAUAUGAAAUAAUAUUAUUUUAAUACGAAAACUAAAAUUUUUUCCUCUAAAUAAACCUAAAUUAAGUAUAAAAUUUUAUUAAAAAAGAUAAAUUUAUUUAUGUGACCAAUCAAAGUGAAACAACAAAAAAUUUUAUUCCCGCACAAAACAGUUUGCGGACAACACUCUAGUUGAUCAUGAAAAAAAUAAGCAUAAUGUAUAGAAAUUUAAAUUUUUUUAACUAUCAGAACCAAAGAUCGUACAUUGAUUAUAAAUUAAACAAUCAUACUAUUAUACAAUCAUACUAACAAUUGGCAAAAUUAGGAAAUCAUUUUUAUAACAAAUAUUCAUACUCUAGUUCAAGUUUACUUAAAUUUCAGCAAAUUGAUUACUUACUUCAUAAAAGUAUAAUCGUAUGUUAGUUUUAAUAGCUUUAUUAAUAUAGUAUCUUAAUAAAUCAUUGACAAGGAACAAUUUAUGAAUAAUAUUUUAAUGCAAUAGUAAUCUCAUAGUUAUAAUUUAUUAUAAUUUCCAUACAAAUUAUAUUUAUUCCAUGAAUUUUAUAUGAGAAAUAAUUAAUAUAAAAUAUUUAUACAAAUUUAUUAAUAAAAAAAUGUCAUAAUUAAUAAAAAUAAUGCAUAUGUAUCUUAUAGCCAAUUCAAUUGUCUAGACGUCUGGGACAGGGAUUACAAAGUCUGCUGCGCCCACUCUGCAGGCAAUACUAAAAUUUUAAGCUUCAGAAAUCUUCUAGUAUUUAAAAUUAUUGGAGUUGACGAUUAAAUUUCAGGUUCCGAAUUUAAAAUUAUGGGGAAUUGACAAAUGAAUUUCUGACAAGCAAAGCAGAGCGGUAAAGUAAUAAAUACCAUCUAAUUAAUGCAUCUAAUCAAGGUGGCUUUUUCAGUCCUACUAGAACUAUGCUGCUUUAAUGGUUGUAUUGUACAUGAUCAACCAUCAGCAGCGCAAAAUUCAUACUAUUUAUUAAGCAUAAACACAGCUUACGAAUACAUUUGGAUGUAGAAAUUAAAGAUGAAGAAAAUCAUGGUCCUCAUACAUGUUGAAGCUGCCGAAAAUGCCUUUGGGCUGCUGCGUUACUGCUUGUUGCAGCAGUAUCAUCCUUCUCUUCAACAUAGCGACUUAAAAGGUGAGCAACAGUUGUUGCCAGACAACUGAUCAAAGGAAGAGAGAAAAGCAGAUUUAUGGCUUUUCUAAGAUUCAUAUUGGUAACGGACGCUCUAAGUUUAUUAAUAGUUCCUCGAAGAUGGAUAUCAAUAGCAUUAAUUUGACUAGUAUAGGAAAAUCAAAGAGACACGGGAAUUAUAUUAGAGUUUUGUGGCGUGGUUACAAAGCCACAAGCGAACAAAAGAACAAUGAACGUAUAUCCAUAUAAUAUUAUAAUCUAUUUUAUAUGUAUAAACUUACAUCAGUAUAAGUAUUACAUCUUUUUUUAUCUUUUAAUCAAAAUUAAAUCCAUAAUACUUACACUUAAUCAUUUUAAUCCAAUAAAUAGAAAAAAGUAUAACACUUACUCGUAUAAAUGGAUUUUUCCUCAUAUAUAUAAUAUUACAACAUAUAUAGAUAUCUUAUAAGAUUUGUCAUAUGAACAUCUAUGAAAAUAAACUCUUUUAAAUUACAUAUAAGAUAAUUUUUUUAAAAGAGUAAGAUAGUUGCUUUUAAUAGCUUUUUAAAAGAGUAAGAUAGUGUAUUUUAAUUACAAAUUAAAUUAUUUUAAAUUUAUUAAAAUAUUAAAAUUAUUUAAAUUAUAAUUGAAAAUCAAAUCAAUAUAGAGAUAUAUUUUUUAAAAUUAAAAGUAUGAAAGAUGGACUUUAUCUUCUUAAGAAAUAAUUUUAGUUAUUUACCCAAUAAUCUUAUUUAAGAAAUUAUUUAAUUAUCAAAAUCUUUCACACCUGUUUAAAAAUUACAAAAAUUAAGUUCAUCGAAAUCUUUCAAUAAUUUUUUUUUAUCUUAAUUUGAAUCAAUAAAAAAUUAUCUUUUUAAAAAUUUAUGUAAAAUAUUGAAAAUUUAAAUAAUUUCAUGUAAGACAUAAAUUCGAAUAACUUUUCAUAUUAAAUCUUUGCAUAUUAAGAUCAUCAAAAGAAUUACAUUCAGCUCAACUUUAAUUAUCAAAUUUAUAUUUCAAAUACAUGUAAAACAUUUGAUUUCAUCUUUAUCACUUAUUAUAUCCAUUUUAAAUUAAAAAAAUUAAUUUAAAAAUUAUCUACUUAAUCCUAAUUGUCACUAAAGAAUUCUUCUUCAAAUUUAAGACUAUAAAUGUAAUGUGUUAUAUCAUUUUUUUUUCAGUUUAAAAUUUUUUGAAAGUAUAUUCUAUUGCUAUUGCAAUUUAUAUUUUUUGUUUAUAACCUUUUUUCCAAGUUAUAUUUUAUUGCUAUUGUAUGAAAAAUAAUAUUUUUUUCAAUUUAUUUUUUCUUUUUUCACAUAUCUCGAUAUAUUUUUCAUAUUUUGUAAAGCAAUUCAGUAAAGAUUAUAAAAGUAAAAAUAUGUUAAUACAUAUUUUAUUAUUUAAUUCAUCAUUCAAUAAUAUAUAUUUUUAUUUUUUUUAAAAAAAGCAUAAUUUAUUUUUAUUCAAUAUAAUUUUGUAGAUGUAUAAAUAUUAUUGUAGACAAAAAUGAUCCAAAGGGAAGACAUAUCAUUUUUUUCUUACUGUUUUCAGAAAGUUUAUUUUUUGAUGACAAGUCAGUAUAUAUUAAUUUUAUAUAUGUUAUAAAUUUUAAAUAUUUGAAUAUAAUUUUGAAAAGGAACUAAUUUAUAUAUAUACUCUUAUUAAAUAAGUAAAAUUGUUCCAUGCAUUGCAUGAGUCGUAAUCUAGUUAUAUUUAUAAAAUAAUAUUUGUUAUUUUGAAUUAUUUUGAAUUUAAUAUUUUUAAAAUAAUAUUAUAAUCAAUUCACAAUUUCACUUGAUGUUUAGCUGAAGUAGCUAAAUUCUAAUCUAAUCCAUACAUUAAUACUAGUAAGAGCUUAAAAAUAAGUUAUACAUAGUUUGUAAGUGAAGCAAGAGCAACCCUAGCACUCUUGUAGCAUUUGGGUUAUUUUAGUUACCAGUUGGUUGAUUUUUAUUAAAAAAUUAAGAUCAAUUCCAUAAAAGAACUAAGCUGGUUACACAACCACAAUCGAACAAAAGAAUGAUGAACGCAUAUCUAUAUAAUAUUAUAAUCUAUAAUAUACAUACAUAUAAAAGCAUGAAUGUGGAAAAAUUUUUGAAUCGACAAGUAUUGAUAUUUUGGUUCAUUAUAUUUAUAUAAUGAUAUUUGUUAUUUUGAAUUAUUUUUAAUUUAAAAAUAUUAGCCAUAAUCAAUUAAUGUAAAAUUCUAUGUAAAUCUUUUCUUAUUUCAUUAACAAGAGAAUUGUACAUUGAUAAAAAUGAAUGUCUGUUCUAAAUAUGGUCAGAGCUAAAAUUAUAGGAAAAUAUCAACUUAAAUAAGGAAAUACAAUGAGAGAUACACAACAAUCAAAUUAGAAUUAGAUCAAGUCAAACUAAUAGUUUCCUAAUUUCUAGUUAUUUAGAAUAGGAUACUUAGGCAUUCAGGAAUCUUAACAUUAUCUCCCAAGUUGGUCAGUGAAUAUCUUCCAUUUCCAACUUAUUUGUGAUCUCUUGAAAUUUUGAGAUGGAUAACCCUUUAGUCAAAACACCUACUAGUUGAUUUCCUAAUAAAACAUAAGGAGCUAUGAUGAGUCCAUUAUCCAACUUUUUUUUUAUAGUGUCUAUCAACCUCAAUGUGCUUGGUACAAUUAUGUUGAAUCGAGUUAUGAGCUAUGCUAAUAGCCAACUUGUUGUCACAAUACAAUCUCAUUGGUCCAUCUAUUUCUGCUCAUAGGUCUUUUAGAAUAAUCCUAAGCCAUAGAAGCUCACAAAUUCCAUGUGCCAUGAACUAAACUUUUACUUCAGCACUUAAUCUUGCCACAACACUUCAUCUUUUGCUCCUCCAAGUAACUAGAUUUCUAGCUAUAAAAGUAUAAUAGCCAGAAGUAGAUCUCCUAUUUAUUAAAGAUUCUAAAUAAUCUAGCUCAUUUCAUCUCUUAAACAAAAUUCCCUUUCUAAGAGUAUCUUUCAAAUAUUGUAGAAUUUUGUGAACCACUUAUAGAUGUUCCUCUCUUGGGUAAUGCAUAUACUAGUUGACUACACUCAUUAGAUAGGCAAUGUUAGGUCAAGUAUCUAAAAGAUAGAUUAAUCUCCUAACUAACCUUUGCUAGCAUCUUUUAUCAACUAUUCCACUUUGUUAUCUCAACUUAGCUUGUGAUUUGUGUCAAUAAGAAUACUUGAAGCUCUACUUCCUAGAGUCUUAUUUCUUUAAGCAAGUCUAGUACAUACUUUCAUUGAGACAAGAAUAUCUCUUACUUGGAGUAUGCCACUUAAAUCCUAAGAAAGUACUUUCAUUUAUCUAACUCUUUAAUUUCAAACUCUUAGGCUAAUUAAGCUUUCAAUCUCUUUUUCUCCUUUUUAUCAUUCCCAGUAACAAUAUGUUAUAAACAUACACUAAUAACAUAGUAAUUUUCUUUUUUUGCGAGUGUUUGAUAAAUAAAAUAUGAUCACUUUGACUUUACCUAUAGCUAAAUCUUACCAUUGCCUUAGUAAAUCUUCCAAACCUGGCCUUCGGUGAUUGUUUUAAUCCAUACAAGGCCUGUUUUAACUUACAAACUUUAUUAAGGCCAAGUUCUUCAUCAAAUCCUAGCAAGGGUUCCAUGUACAUUUCUUCUUCCAAAUCUCUAUGGAAAAAUUUAUUUUUUUACAUGAAAUUGUUGGAGUUCCCAUUCAAAAUAAGUAGCUAGUGAUAAGAGAAUUCUUACUAUAUUCAUCUUUACUACUAGAGAAAAAGUCUUUUGGUAGUCUACACCAAAGAUCUAUGCAUAAGCCUUUCGUAACUAACAUUGCUUUGUAGCUAUUAACAGUGUCAUCUACUUUAACCUUCAUAGUAUAGAACCACUUGCAUCUAAUUGCUCUCUUGUCUUUAAGACAUGUGACUAUCCUAACUUUUAUUCUAUUCCAAGGCCUUUAUUUCUUCCUUCAUUGCACGUGUCCAAUUCUUAUCUCUUAAAGCUUUUUGUAAUGUUUUGGGAAUUUAAAAUAAGUUCAUGGUAAAGAGAAAGCUUUUGUGUUAUGUGAUUAAAAGAAGCGAGAAAAUAAAGUUAGAUAUGAGGUGUUGAGUGUACUUUCACAUCUUUUUCUCUAGGUUAUAGGAUGGUCUACGUCAUUUUCUAGUAUAGGCUAAUGAUCACGUGAGACAAAAUAAUUUUCUUAAAAAACAUGUAUAUUUAAAGUGUUUUCAUUACUUAUGCUCAAGUCAGGUUCACGGAUCUAUUUUGGUACUUAUGAAAGCUGUAUUAUCCUUGAAUAUUAUUUUAGUUGCUUCAUAAGAGCUUUUGAAAGUUGGUUUUUUGGAUCUGCACUAGGUUCAAAGCUCUACAGAUUUGAAGUUUUUGCUAGAAUGGUCUUGGUUUCAUCAAGUGAGGUUGGAUUGCCUUAAAUUUCAAUGAUUUUAAUAGGCAAUGUAGGUUCAAUAUUUGGAUUAUCGUAUGUAACUGGCUUGGUUUCAUAAUACAAAUACAACAAAAAUGAAAGGGUAAAACUUUCAAGAAAAGAUGUAAAACCUGAGCUCACAUCUUCCUUGGAUAACUUUUCCCCUUAAAGAUGAGUAAUAAGAAACUUGUAAAAUGGUUCACCUUCUUAGAAUGCAACAUCCAUGGAUACAAAGAUUCGAUGGGUAGAAGGACCAUAGCAUUUGUAGCCAUUUUGAGUAGAGGAGUAGCCAAUUAAAAUACAUUUCUUGGCACGAAGAUUUAACUUGGAAUGGUUGGUUUUGUAAAUGUGUAAGUAGGUUAUGCAACUAAACACCUUGGGAAAUACUUUAAAAGGAGAUAGAAAUGGAAAAAUACUUAGAUAGAGUGGACAAAGGGUUUUUAUUGCACAUAACUUUGGAAAAAAGUCAAUUUACGACAUGAGUAGCUAUGAAGACUACUUCAUCCUAAAGAAAUUUUGGGACAUUUGACUGCAAUAAAAUGGCACAAGUUACUUUUAAUAGGUAACUAUUUUUUUGCUUAACAAUUUCAUUUUGUUGGGGAGUUUCAACAUAAGAUGUCUUAUGAAUGAUAGUAUCUUUUUCAAAAAAUAAGAAAAGAGUUUGAUUAAAGAAAUCCCUGGCAUUACCAAAUUGAAUUCUUUUGAUUUGUACCCCAAAUUGUGUAGAAAUCAUUUUUAAAAUUAAGGAAGGAUGGUAGUGAGUUUUGAUUUUCCUUUCAUGAGAAACAACCAUGUUAUGAGAGUGUAAUCAUCAAUAAAAGAGACAAACCAUGUGCCCCAUUAACAGUAGGAAUUUUCAAAAGUCCCUAAAUAUGAAAUUGAAUUAAAAAAAUGGCUUAUUGUUCUUUAUUGAUUUACAGAAAAAGAAGCACAAUGAUAUUUUGCAAAUUGACAAACAUCAUAAUGAAAAUUAGUGAUUGAUUGCCAUUGCAAGUGCAUGGUUCGUAACAAGUAAUAGAGUAAUGAGUAAAGUUUGUUUCCAUGGAGAUUGUAUAUAAAGUUAAAGUAUCAAAAUUGUAACACCCUAAUUAUAUUCAAACAAAUAAAAUAUAAGCAAUUAACUAUACUACUAUGCAAAUCAAAAAUCAAAUAAUUAAACCAAACUAAUCAAAUGCAGCAGCCAAAUUAAUCUAAACAUACAAACUAAUUAAAGUAGCAACUACCUAAAAUUAACUGAAACCAAAACUUAGAAUUAAUAAUCAAAAUAGUAAAUGAAUUAAUAUGUAAAACAAAAAAUUUAAACUAUGCAGAAUUGUAGAAACAGAGUUUAAAUAUGAUGUAGUAAAUUAAAACCUAAUGCAGUAGCUAAACAUUAUAUACAUAAGUGAAUUAAACAACUAAUGCAAUAACUAAACACGAAACAAAAUUAAAAGGUUUGUAUGCUAAAAUAGAAAAUAAACUAGUGCAAAAACUUAAAGCUGUAAAUUAAAUAAUAACAUGUAGUAAACUUUUGAAAACUAAAAACAAAAAAGUAAAUGCUAAUCUAAUCCAGUAAACAUGAAAUUAAAACAUGUAGCAAUUAAAAUCCUAAACAAAAAACUAGAAACUGGAAUUUUUAAUAAAGAACAUAAUGUUGUAAACAUGCUAAUGCCAAAAUUGAACAAGAAUGGUAAAAUUGUAAAUUGAAUCUUGAACUGAAAAUUAAAAUAGAAAAUUGUAAAUAUCAAAUUAAAUCGAAAUGGAAAAAUUUGCAAAAAUAGUAAUUGAAGUCAAAACUUAGAGAGCUUAAACAAAUAAUUAAAAGAACUUAAAACUAGAAUUAAAAAUUAAACAAAUUAAACUUGAAAAUUAAAUUGUAGAAAAAAUUGUUUAAAACUUAAAAGUACUUAGAGAAAAUCUAAAGAACAAUGAAAGAAAACAUAAGACUACGGAUUGGUUUAUCACCCCAAAUCCAUGCUUUUUUUUUCCCAAACCUAGCUAUUUAUAGAACAAGAAUACAAAGAAACCCUAGACUAAUAACUAGCAGAUCUUGAAUUCUUGAAGUGAUUAGCUUCAGCCAAACUUGGAUUCUUUCUUGUAGAAGUCUUUUUGACUUGAGUCUUUAUUGUGCUGAUUUAACUUGGCUCUCUUUAAUUUAUGUACAUGGAAUCUCAAGAUUAUUAUAUUUUGACUUGGCUUCAAUAUUAUUGACUUGUUACUUAAAAAAUAAAAGUAAAAUGUACCUAUUUUUUUUUAAAUUGAGAAGAGAUUUGUUCUUUUUCAAACUUUCUCAAGCUUUAGAAACUUUCCAUAUCUUUUCGGUUAAAUGUCUAGAACUCUUUCUUGUUUUGAGUGAUUAUUUCCAUAUUUGCCUCUUACUUAUUGGUGAGGUUGGCUUGGCCUUAUGUGUAACCCUUAAAACCCUUUGUUCAAGCCAAAACUUGUACCUUGUUGUAUAGUUUGAAACAUGUAUCGUGAGUAUGGCAUGGUUUCUUACAGUAUGAACACCAUAUCCCUUUUCUGUUAUAUUGUUUUCCCAAAUCAAGCCUAGUGUUAUCACCUAGUCUAGGUCCAUUCUUAUCUCCUUCUUUAGUCUUUCUAGCACCAUAGUAGUAGCUUCAAAUGUAUAGGAUUCUAACAUAACUUCCCAUUGACUCUAUUCAGCUUGAACAAUAGAAAAUAUUUCAAGAAGUGUUAGGAUUGGGUCUUUACCAAGAAUUUAUACUCUAACUUGAUCAUAGUAAGUAUUCAACCUUGCUAAGAAUUCAAAUGCUUUAUCAUGCUCUAAAAACUUUUGGAAUAUCUAAAUAUCAUCACUAUUUUUCACCUUUAGGUCAUGGUAGUCAUCGAUUUUUAGCUAUAAACCUAUCAUUUUAGUAUAGUAGUUUGUGAUGAACACGUUUCUUUGCUUAGCAGAGACAACUUGCACCUUUAACUCAUAAACAACUAUAAUAUCAUUCUUCUUAAAAUAAGUCUAUUGUAGUGUCUCCCAUAUGGCUCUUACAAUAAAAAGAAACAUCACAUUUCAACUAAGCUCUAGUUUCAUAGAGUUUCAUAACCAUGACAUGAUCAUGGAGUCUUUUUUGUCCCAUAUCUUAAACUUGCGUGUUUAAAGCUUGGGCCAUCAUUGGUUAAGUUAUAGAUCUUCCCUCGUCCCUUGAAGAAAGUUCAAGCAAUCUGACUUCAUUAUAGGUAAUUUGUUCCAUCAAGAUGAUAGAAUGGGUUCAUACUCUAGAGUUCAUUGUUUGAACCAAUCAAGUGAUGGUUAUUCACAUUGGAUAAUGAAACAGUAGCAAGUUCAGUCGUAGCCACAAAUGGCAUAUAAGGUAAAGAGGUAAUGAAGGUUGUAGACAUCUUUAGGUUAAUUGUUUAAGGAAGGAACAUAUUGCAAUGAAGGUAAAAAGAUGGAAGAAAGGUAUCAAGCGAUUAAGGCUAAAAUAAAAUAACAAAAAGACUAAAGGAAAGGCUCUAAUACUAUGUAAAAUUUUAUGCAAAUCCUUUCUUAUUUCAUUAACAAGAAAACUAUACAUUAUAUAGAAAGAAGUGUCUAUUCUAAAUAUGGAUAGAGCUAUAAUUAUAGGAAAAUAUCUAUCUAAACAAGAAAAUAUAAUAAAAGAUACAAUACAAUCAAAUCAAGUCAAAGUAAUAGUUCUUUUAUUUCUAGCUAUUUAGAAUAGGAAACUUAGACAUAAUUUUAAAAAUCUUAACAAUUAACAAUUUUACUUGGUGUUAGUUGAACUAGCUAAAUUCUAAUCCAAUUCAUACAUUAAUACUAGUAAGAGUUUAAAAUAAAGUUGUAGUUUUUUAAGCAAGAGUUACCCUAGCACUCUUGUAGCAUUUGGAUUAUUUUGAUUUGGGAGUUAUCACUUAAUUGAUUUAUUAGGACCAAUAAACCAAAAUUAAGGAUAGCAUGCAAUCAAUAUCUAGCCUGACUCUCUAAAUGUGUCUUUAGUGGAGUCACUAAGCUGUCAUGACGUCUUGGGACCUAGGGGUGGGUGACCCGAAAGCCGAACGAAUGAAAAAAUUUGGAAAAUGAAGGCUAAAAAUAUUUACAAUAAAAACAAAACAAGAAGUCACCACCAAUCUUUUUUAGGGUAUGAUUGGUCACCUAAAAAUUUUAUCCUUUUAAUAAAAUAUUUAAAAUUGGUUUAAAAAUUUUAUGAUAAGAACAAUUUUUUGGUUUGCGAAAUUAAAGUUGGGUCUGGGAGUCGGUUACGUGUGGGGAGGGAUUAGCACCCCCAUAAUGCCUAUUGAAAAUGGUACUAAUUGAUUGCAUGUUAUCCUUGAAUUUUGGUUAAAAUGAUCCAAUUUUCCUUAAUGUUUAAAAUUAAUUCCUUUUUUUUCUUUUUUUCUUUUUGAAAACAAAUCAAAAUUUGAAAAAAAAUUACUUUUUUUAACUUUUGGACCAAAAUGAAAACACUUUAAAUAUUGAACACUUUUUUCACUCUCCUAUAAUUAGGUCGAGCUUUAAAAAUUUUUCUAAUUUAAAGGUUUUCAAAUUACCCCACAAAAUUGAGAUAACACCUCUCAUAAAUAAUAAUUAUCGAGUCCCUUUAUAGUUAGGCAAGAUCUCAAUUACUAUAUUUACUUGGGAUAUUAUCUUAUUUUAAAACAUUUUAACAUUGAAAACAUAUUUUUGAAAACAUAUAUAUAAAAUGCACAAACAUAAUAACAUGAUGAAUGCAUGGCAAUAUAACUUGAAUGACAAUGUGUGAAUGCAUGACAAUAUAAAAAUACAUGUGAUGACAAGGCAAAAUGAAAUGCAAAUGCAUGAUUAGUUUUAGGGUUUGAGGGUUGGUUUUGGGGUUUGGGUUGGCUUGGGGUCUAAGUUAGGGUUUAAGGUUUAGUUUGGGAUUUAGGGUUUGGUUUAUGGUUUGUCUUAGGGUUUAGGGUUUCAUGAAAUUUGGGGUUUUAUGGGAUUUGGGGUUCAUAAGAUUAUGCAUGUGAUAAAAUCAAAUUACAAAAAUGCCAUUAGUGAAAGCAUGUAACAAAAGCAUGAUAUGGAAAAAAAUAAUUACACACCAAGGUAUUUAUAAAAUUAAAUCACAAACAAGAUAUGUAUGAAAAUUUGAGAGAAAAUUGGAUCAAACAUGAAAAUAUUUUCAAAUUGGUUUGAAUGGUCUACCAUUUUUUCUUUAAUAACCAAGCCAAGUGACAUAAAAAAUCCUAAAACAACCUAUUAAACUAGCUUUUUUUUUUCUUGAAAAAUUGAUCCAAUACUUUGAAAACUUGGAAAAUCUUAUCAAAAACUCAAUCAAAUACAUAAUCAAGGCAAGAAUUAACCCCAAAAUGAAGAAGAAGGUUUGGCCAAACCAAGAACCACCCAUGGCUGAACCUUUUCAUGUCAUUGCAUCACCACAUUUUCACUUUAUUCAAGCUAAACACACCUCAUUUACCUUCCAAAUGAUCAUGUGAGGUCAUUCACAUCAUAAGGAGAAUUUUAUCAAACAUGAAACAAGCUAAAAUAACAAAAAACAUAUGAACAACUAGAGCAUGAGCUAAACACCAUUAUAUAUCAUCAACAAAGAAAAAUUUGUACAAAACAAAAGUAGACUCACCAUUUAAUCAUGUUAAACAACAUUUGAAAGCAAAUAAAACAUUAAGAGGUGCCAAGAAGAAGUUUGGCCAUGGUGGAGGAGUGUUAGCCGAACAUCCAACUUGGUUUUUAAUGGUGGAUUCUUGUGUUUCUUUGUUGCUUGAUUUCUAGCUUCAAACCAACCUUUUAAUUAGUUAGUGUAGACACCUAAUUUUGUUUGAAAUAUUUUAUUAUUUGAAUCUAGGCUUAUUUCUGUAAUUAGGCCUCGAUCAUAAUUUUUGAGCCCAUUACAUGAUCCACUUAUAAAUGCUUUGGUAUGAGGUUCAAUAUGGGCCUUAUAGAGAGGCGUGUUGUAGAAGUUUGAAUGAAUGCUUAAAAUGGCCUAAUAAAAAGGCCCAAUAAAAGGCCCAUCCUUAAAACCAAUUGUUGGCCCUUAAGCAAAAUAAUAAUAAUAAUAAUAAUAAUAAUAAUAAUAAUAAUAAACAAAAAGAAAUAGAAAAUGCAAGAAAAUGCUUGGCCAAAAAAUAUAAUAAAUAGAUAAAUGAAAAUUUGAAAGCCUAAAACCCUAAAAAAAGAAAGGAUCCAACAAAAAAAUCAAUAAAGGCCUACAAUUAAACAUAGCUAACAAAAACAAAGGCCCAUUCGACCUUAUUUAAAUGGCUAAAUUCAUAGCCCAACCAAUGUAUGAGAAAAUGAGGUUAAGGAACAAUUACUUCGUGCGUGCAAAAAAUUGAAAACUGUAUGAGAAGUGGCCAACCAACAUGGGUGUAAGGAGAAACUGCAUACAAAAGAUAAAAAAACAAAAAGGAAAAGAAAAAAGAAGCACGGUUAUGAAGAAAGAGAGAGAGGUGUAAACCAAAAGUAAAAGAAAAAAACUAAAGCAUAAACAAUUGAAGAACAAGUAAAAAAAGAACAUAAAGCAUUCAAAAACUAGGUAGCAAAAGAAACGUGAACUAGAAAAUAGGAAAAACAAAAAAACCAAGAAAAGAAAUAGCAGUAAGAACAAAAGAAAAAGAAACAGAGGAAAAAGAGAAAUUUGUGCAAAAAAGGUCUCUUUCUAUAUGAAAACCUGAACUUUACUUGUCAUUCACUCUGCUUUUGUUCCUGCAUGAGUUGUUGCAAAUUGUGUGGUUUAUGUUUAGUUGAAAUGCAUGCUCAAUGCUUGAUAUUUGCUUAUCCUGUUAAGUUUGCUGGUUGUUUUUUUUUUUUUCCUUCUUUGCUACAUAAUUGUAUGAAAAUGAUAAAAGCAUGGUAGGGGAAAAAGUUUCAAAGCCAAGUUUUAUUUCUUUCUUCUUUGUCAAAAAACUCAGCAUUAGUUAUGUCUAUGGCCAUCUAGUUUUAAUGUGAAAAAAUUUUUUAAAAGAAAAAAAAGUAAAACACAACAGUAGGAGACGAUGAUGGCUUGUAUGGGGAAAAUUAAAGCUUGUUUUUCUUUCCUUUUACCUGCUUACAGCUUUUGCAUAGUGUACAACUUUUAUCCCUUUCUUGUUUAUUGUUUCUUUAUAUGGGACUAUGUGCUUUGUUCAAGCUUAAGGUUUUUUUCUUUUUAUUGCUAAGCUUUCUUAUUGCAUGAGAGAUUAUUGUCUAAAUUAAGCUCCAUCCAAUUCAUUCUUAUUAAGAUCUCUUUAUAUAAAAUUUGUGUGGAGUCCUGAAGUCUUGGUGUUGUUCAUAGAUGUUGGUUAGUUAUCCUUUUCUUGCUUAGGACUAUAUUGUUUACCACUUAUGCAUCCAAGUUUUAUUAGGAUAGAAAGAUUUUUAUUUUUAUUUUUAUUUUUAUAUAAAUAAAGACUUAAAAUUAAAAGGUUGAAAAUUUCUUUAUUUUUAAUAAAGUUCAUUUUCACGCAUAUUUUAUACCAUUUAUGUUCAUGCACAUUUUUCUUAUGUUGUUUGAGUGCAAUUUAAAUUUUAUGCAUGUUUAAUUUCCUUGCUAGUUAAAUUUCUAUGCUUAUUUUAGUUUUUAUGCAAUUAAUUUCCAUGUUGUAAAUUGCUUUAGAUGUAAUUUAUUCUCAAUACAUUUUAAAUUUAUUAAUUUCAUCAUGCUUUUUAAAAAAAAUAAUAAAAGUAAAUAAUAGAUAUAUAAUAAUAAAAAUAAUAAAAAAUUUUAAAAUCCCUACCUAUAUGUUGGAAGGAGUUCAAAAUCGGGUUUUAAAUUUUUUUUACCUAGUUGUUGGAAAAUUAUUAAAUAAUGUAAGAUAAACAAUUAAACAAUAAUAAUAACAAUAAUAAUAAUAAUAAACUUUUAAUGAAAAAGUAAAAAAUAUAAAAAAUAAUUUUUAAAAAUCAUAAAAAACUAGGUUACUCCAAAAGUCUGCAUAGAUGUUAGAGAUUUUUAGAAAAGUUCAUAAAUUUGUGAAACCUUAACCCGAAACCUUAAGUGAAACCCUAAUGUGAAACCUUAAAACGAAACCCUAAAUGAAAACCUAAAAUGAAACCCUAGGUGAAGCCCUAAACCUUAGGUAAAACCUUGAACCUUAAAUCUACACAAAUCUCUAUAACCAUCAUAAAUUUUUGAGAAUUUAUAUAAAAACGUUUCAUGAAGUAAUCUGUUCCCAAAUACCACUUAGACAAUGGAGUAUUUAGAAAAAUUUUAUUUUAUUAAAAUUGUUCAUAUAAUUCUUUACUUAAAAUAAUGACAAAAUUAAAUCACAAUAAAAAUAAAAAUAGGAUCUUAAAUAUAAAUAGUCACAUCCAAACAUUGCUUAGAAGUUAAAAAGUUCAUAUGGUUUCUUUAUAUUUAAGGACCUUGUUCCUAAAUUAGUAUCUUAUCAUCAUUUGCAUUUAUCCAUUUUUAAAUCAUUGUUUGCACUUAUCAUGCAUAUAUAUAUUUAUUUUAAUUAUUGAUGUUUAUUGUUAAUUAUUGCAUUUACCAUUUUUACUGUAUAAAGAAAAUUUUUGAAAAAUUAAAAUAACAUUCCAAAAAAGAUGAAUAUUGGUACUUUACCUAGAUGUUGGAAAGUCACUAACAAUUAUCAUUUGCAAAGAAUGUCAUUUUUACUUUAGAGGAAUUUUAUGGCGAAUCUCAAGCCGAAAGAAUUAUCUUUGCAUUCUGCAUAGAUGUUAGAGAAUUUUAAGAUAUUUCUUUAACUUAAAGAAUUUCACAAUAUUAUUAAAUAAAAAUUUUUAAUUGAUCUUGUUUCUUAAGAAAGGGAAUUAUUAUUAAAUCUUAAAUAAAAAAAUUUUUUAUCCAAAAUUAUAAUAGUACAUGGUUAAUUGGUACUAAUUUUUAUAGGUGAUGGGGGUGCUAGUUCUUCCUUACUCGUAACUAACUCCCGAACCUAAUCUUGUUUUCGUAUAUCAAAAUUAUCUUUUUAAUAAACUUUAAACCUGUUUUAUUGUUUCAUUAAAAAGAUAAAAUUUUUGGGUGGUCAAUCACACCAUAAAAAAAGAUUGGUGGCGAUUUCCUGUUUUUCUUUAUUUUAAAUGUUUAUGUUUAGUGAUCGAGUUUUCAACCUAAUACAUUAUGACAACUUACUAAUUCCACUGGAGACAUUUUGAGAGUCAAGCUAAAAAUUUUAAUCAUGUGCUAUUGAAAGUUUUGGAUUUAAUUCACUUUAUUUGAUAUUUAAUUUAAUUCCCUUUAUUUUAAGUUUUUCAAAAAAAAAUUAGUAAAUUGCAUGUUAGUUAUUAUCUUGUUUUGAUUUUGUUAUUUGUAAUUUAUUUAUGUUAUUUUGUUUAAUAUAUUGCUUUGCACACUUUUGUACAUUCACUAUUAUGUAUGAGCUUUAGACUCAGGCUUUAUGCUUAUUAGGAGGAAGUUAAGUAGCUAUGCUCUCAUGAGGUGAUAACCUCCGCAUUAUUAGUGAAACACUUUCAUUUAGAUCGAACCCUUUUCCAUUUAUAACUUGUAAUGGGUGAGGACUAGUGUGCCUUAUUAGUAUGUAAUGGAUGAUGAUGUAAGGUUUAAUCUGGGAACCUUUAGAUGAAUAAGUCCUGACCCAACAUAUCAUGAGCUAUAGGAAGCUUGUCGAGGGUAGAGCCAAGUCGCCUUUUUGGAAAAUAAUCAAAAGUUAGGACACUGUAUAUAUUAUGUUGUUUUAUAUAGUUGUAUGUUAUUUCUAUUCUUUUUUUGUUUUGGAUUAUUGAUUCAUUUUUAUUUGUAUAGUCUUUAAUUUUGUCAUAUACAUUAUAUAGGCAUUAUAUUUUAAAAGAGGGUAUUUGUUUUAGGUUUGUCAUUAGCAAAAAAGUUUUUAUGAAGCCAUCAAUAAUGUCAACCCUUUAUAGAAAUUAUUUAGAAGUUAAAAAUCAUGCCAAUCUCUUUUGUAGAAAUUACCUAAAAGUAGGAUAUAUGGGGCAUUUUGAUGCAAUUUAUGUUUAAGGUAAUAAUGUAAAUAAAGUUAGGAUAAAAAAAGAGUCCAAAUAAAAAUAAAGGUAAAAAAAAAAAGAGAGAGAUUUAGGAUAGGUAAAGAGUUUGUCAUCUUUUUAGAAUUCAAUCAUUACAUUCUACAUUCAUUGUUAAGGUAAUUUGUAUAUUUUGGGUUGUUCCAUUUUUAUUUAUAUAUUUGCAUUGUUAUCAUACUUAGGCAUUCAUAAACAUAUCUUGUGUAGCAUGCGGAUAAGAAAUUGUUUUAUGUAAUUUAUUCAGCACUAAUAAUAACAUAAACACUU